Molecule: ribosomal RNA, 437 nt
Filed under: Wolbachia endosymbiont of Aphis gossypii
Lineage: Bacteria; Pseudomonadati; Pseudomonadota; Alphaproteobacteria; Rickettsiales; Anaplasmataceae
Description: bacterial SSU rRNA
Rfam family: Bacterial small subunit ribosomal RNA
Source: RNAcentral
CAUACCUAUUCGAAGGGAUAGGGUCGGUUUGGCCGGAUUUCACACAGGUGUUGCAUGGCUGACGUCAGCUCGUGUCGUGAGAUGUUGGGUUAAGUCCCGCAACGAGCGCAACCCUCAUCCUUAGUUACCAUCAGGUUACGCUGGGGACUUUAAGGAAACUGCCAGUGAUAAACUGGGGGAAGGUGGGGAUGAUGUCAAGUCAUCAUGGCCCUUAUGGAGUGGGCUACACACGUGCUACAAUGGUGAUUACAAUGGGCUGCAAGGUCGCAAGGCUGAGCUAAUCCUAAAAAAUCAUCUCAGUUCGGAUCGUUCUCUGCAACUCGAGAGCAUGAAGUUGGAAUCGCUAGUAAUCGUGGAUCGGCAUGCCACGGUGAAUACGUUCUCGGGUCUUGUACACACUGCCCGUCACGCCAUGGGAAUUGGUUUCACUCGAAGCU